AUCUACGGCCAUGCCAUCCUGAACAAGCCCGAUCCCAUCUGAUCUUGGAAGCUAAGCAAGGUCGGGUCUGGUUACUUCUUGGCUGGGAGAUCACCUAGGAAGAUCAGGUGCUGUAGGUG
RNAcentral lists this ribosomal RNA (119 nucleotides) under Pteropus alecto (black flying fox). Lineage: Eukaryota; Metazoa; Chordata; Mammalia; Chiroptera; Pteropodidae. The record is from RNAcentral.